UAAUUAAGUACGAAAAGGAUAUGAUUUGUUUUUUAAGACUCACAGAAAAUUCUUUCUUGGCUGAAAAAAGAAUAGUCACUAAUCAAAUUGCUCCCUUUUUCUAUUUUGGUAGAAAUACCGACGCAGCUCAGCGUUAUCGAGUUUAAGAGGUAAUGAUUACACAUCAUUGCAAUCAAGGUGGUACCGCGAGUUUUCGUCCUUGGC
This 204-nucleotide non-coding RNA is filed under the name Enterococcus faecium. The record is from RNAcentral. Lineage: Bacteria; Bacillati; Bacillota; Bacilli; Lactobacillales; Enterococcaceae.